CGAACCCGGAAGCUAAGGCCCACAGCGCCGAUGGUACUGCAACCGGGAGGUUGUGGGAGAGUAGGUCGCCGCCGGAC
This 77-nucleotide ribosomal RNA is filed under the name Micrococcus endophyticus. The record is from RNAcentral. RNAcentral also lists the same sequence under 3 other names. Lineage: Bacteria; Bacillati; Actinomycetota; Actinomycetes; Micrococcales; Micrococcaceae.